Molecule: ribosomal RNA, 4287 nt
Filed under: Triticum aestivum (bread wheat)
Lineage: Eukaryota; Viridiplantae; Streptophyta; Magnoliopsida; Poales; Poaceae
Description: partial small subunit ribosomal RNA
Source: RNAcentral
AUGGCCAUGGUCCUGGAUGCCUUCGCAUCCUAUGUGCAGAGCAUGCUCACAGAGAUGGUGACUGAAGAGGUGCACAUGCUUCUAGGAGUCACAGACGAGAUCGACAAGAUGGAUGUCAAGCUCAGGGACCUCAAGAACUUCCUUGCCGAUGCUGAUAGGAGAAACAUCACCGACACGAGCGUGCAAGAGUGGGUGGGGCAGCUCAAGCGCGCCAUGUAUGAGGCUUCCGACAUCCUUGACCUCUGCCAGCUCAAGGCCAUGGAGCGCGGUCUGUCCACUAAAGAUGUGGGGUGCUUCAACCCCUUGCUCUUCUGCAUGCGGAAUCCCUCCCAUGCCCACGAUAUCGGCACCCGCAUCAAGGUGCUCAACAAGAGGCUCGGCAUCAUCAAGGAGAGAAGCGCUGCUUUUAGCUUCAUCCCUCUUGGUUCCUAUGAGGAUCGUAGCAGCAAGGUGCAAGCCUCUCAUUCUGGAAAUAAGAGACGCGAGACAUCAGGGGUGUUUGACCGGUCAGGUGUAGUCGGAGAGAAGAUCGAACAAGACACAUGGAAGCUGGUUGAGAUCAUGCUGACUGAAAAGGAGGGCAACACCAACAUCAUGCUGGUCGCUGUUGUUGGUGUCGGCGGAAUCGGCAAGACCACUCUUGCCCAGAAGGUCUUUAACAAUGAAGCCUUGAAUGCUGAGUUCGAGAAGAUGAUAUGGUUGAGCAUCAAUAAGGACUUUGACAAGGUUGAGUUGCUCAGGACAAUCAUCACGCAAGCUGGGGGAGUACAUGGUGGUGAAAAGGCAUUGGCUGUGCUUCAGCCAAUACUUGCCGCUACCUUGAAAGGGAAGAAGCUAUUCCUGGUGCUAGAUGAUGUUUGGGACCAUGGAGCAUGGAAUGAUGUGCUUAAAGCACCCUUGGCUAAUGUUUUGGCUCGAGGUAGCCGAGUCCUCGUCACUACUAGAGAUGAAAGAGUAGCUCGAGGGAUGAAAGCUGUGCUUCCAUACCACCAUGUCGACAAGUUGCAAGAGGAGGAUGCCUGGUUAUUGCUCAAGAAACAGAUAAUCUUAAGUGAGACAGAUGAGCGUGAAAUUGAUAUGCUCAAGGAGAUUGGGUUGCAAAUUGUAGCAAAAUGUGAUGGCUUGCCUCUUGCUGUCAAAGUAAUGGGAGGGCUCUUGUGUCAGAAGGACAAAAACCACCGUGAGUGGGAGAUGAUUCUCGAUGAUUCUGUAUGGUCGAACUCUGGACUACCCGAAGAGCUAAACCAUGCAGUAUAUUUAAGCUAUGAAGAUUUAUCUUCUUCUGCCAAACAUUGCUUUUUGCACUAUUCUCUUCUCCCUAAAACUGAAGUUUUUGUUAGCAAUCAAAUCAUUGCCAUGUGGAUUAGUGAAGGAUUUCUUCACGGGAGCUUGGAUGACUUGGAAGAACUAGGAAGCAAGUACUAUAAAGAGCUGAUAUUGAGGAAUCUUAUAGAGCCAAAUACAAAGUAUGUUGAUCAAUGUGUCUGCAACAUGCAUGAUGUUGUACGCUCAUUUGCUCAAUUUGUGGCCAGAGAUGAGGCACUAGUAGCUCAUAGUGGAGAAACUAAUAUUGCUAGUAAACUUAGUGCACAUGGGUUUCUUCGGUUAUCUGUAGAAAGCAAAGCAUCAGAAUCAGAGGGGUUAGACUGGAGUUCUUUGCAACCACAAAAGACACUAAGGGCACUAAUAUCAGUUGGUUGUAUAAAUAUCAAGCCUGGUGAUUCGUUUGUUCAUUUUCCAUCUCUACGAACUUUACAUAUAGAUUCUGCACAUGUUGUAGUAUUGCCUGAAUCUUUGCAUGAACUGAAGCAUUUGAGGUACUUGUCCUUAGAGCACACUGAUAUAUCUAGUCUGCCUGAUAGCAUUGGAAAGAUGAAAUUAUUGCAGUUCAUUAGCCUCAGAGGAUGCAAACAAUUUGUGAAUCUUCCGCAUAGCAUUGUAAAGUUAGGGCGACUAAGGUACCUUAACUUCACUGCAACAAGUAUAAAAGGCAUACCUAGGGGGUUUUGUGCUCUAACAAACUUGAGGACAGUAUUUGGGUUUCCAGCCCAGGUGGAUGGUGAUUGGUGUAGUUUGGAAGAGUUGGGUCCUCUUUCUCAGCUCAAGCAUCUUCAGUUGCAUGGAUUGGAGAAUAUACCUUCUUCAUCUGCAGCAAAGGCAAAGCUUGGCGACAAGGUGCAUCUUACCGAGCUAUUCUUAUACUGUGCUAGUAUAUUGGGAGAUGUUGGGCUGAUUAAGGAGGAAGGUGGUGUCUCUGAGGAAAAGCAACAACAAAUCGAGAAGGUGCUUGAGGAGCUCUGCCCUCCGCCCAGGUUAGAAUAUCUUGACAUCAAAGGAUAUUUCGGCCGAUGGCUCCCAAGGUGGAUGAUGUCUUCAUCAGUUGUGCCCCUCAAGAGCUUGAGGAUUCUGUUCAUUAUUGACCUGGCUUGCUGCAGACAGCUUCCUGAUGGCUUGUGUCAGCUCCCUUACUUGGAGUUCAUUCAGAUCGAGCGUGCUCCGGCCAUCAAGCGUGUUGGACCUGAAUUCAUGCAGUCCUUCCAUCAAAGUCCUCAUUCUUCCAAGAUGGUGCCUGCGUUUCCGAGAUUGCAAAAGAUGAAUUUAAUAGGAAUGGUGGAAUGGGAGGAGUGGGAGUGGGAGGAGCAAGUGCAAGCCUUUCCUGUCUUGCAGCAUCUUAUGCUAAAGCAGUGCAAAUUGAAGUGUCUUCCUCCUGGUCUUGCCUCUCAGGCAGGGGCUUUGAAUAAAUUAAUCAUAUACAAUGUCCAGGGUCUCAUAUCUGUAGAGAACUUCCCAUCUCUGGUUGAGCUGAGUCUGGCUGAAAACCUUGACUUGGAGAGGAUCACUAAUCUUCCCAGACUGCAGAAGCUUACCAUCGAAGACUGCCCAAAGCUGAAGGUGUUGGAGGGUCUUGUUGCACUCCAGAGGCUCGUUCUCUCGUAUAAUGACAUGGGAACAAUCCCAGAAUACAUGGGAGGUAUAAACCCAGGGCAUUUAGAGCUAUACUGCAGCCUAGCACUGCUCGUUUCCAUAGCCGCGGGACAACCUGGUCCUGAGUGGGACAAGUUCAGCCAUGUUGAGCAUGUCAAGGCAUAUGCAUGUGAAAGGGAUAAUCCAAGUAAAUGGUAUGUCUUGUACACUGCUAACCCCUACAACUUGGAGACAAAUGUCAGCCACUCUUUCAUGUCCAGAGGAACCUUGACUUCUUUUGAGGACGCACAAAGAUUUGAGUCUCUCUUCAAAAUGACAAGAAAAACCUUUAGCUACAUCUGCAGCUUGGUUAUGGGGCCAUCAAUGGAAGAUAUGUACAGCUACACCUUUGUUGAUGAGAGGGUGCUGUCCUUAGAAGAUCGGGUAGCCGUUGCUCUUAGAAGGUUGCAGUCCAGUGAGCCAACAGAGAGCAUAGCAUCCUCUGUUGGUGUGAACGAGUCAAUUAUCUUGUUGGUAACUGAGAGGUUCGUUGAUACUGUGCGGGAGCGGGCAGACCACCACUUGAGAUGGCCAGACUCCAGCGAAAUGGAUAAGAUCAAAUCCAAGUUUGACAAGAUCCACACUAUGCAUAACUGUUGCGGGGUUAUAUGUACAACGCACAUCCCAUUUGGACCAAACUGCAAGCAUGAGAAGAAUGAUAGCACACUGAUGCAAGUUGUCGUUGAUCCAGAGAUGAGGUUUAGAAACAUUUGGCUCGGAUCAGCAGGUAUGAACCAGUCGAGCCUUUUGCAGGACUCUCAAAUCUUCAAGGAGUGCGAGAAGGGCGGUUGGCUGAAUGGUAGCAAGCUGAAGGUAGCAUUAGAUGGAUUAGAAGUCGGGGAAUACAUAAUUGGUGAUGCAGGAUAUCCUCUUCUCCCGUGGCUACUCACACCAUAUGAGGACGAAGACCUCUCGGACUCCAAGGCAGAGUUCAAUAGGAGACACUCCGCAGCCACAACCUGUGCUCUGAAGGCGCUGGCAAAUCUCAAAGACACAUGGAAGUGCCUGCAGGGAGAGACAUGGUGGCCAACCGAUCUGGAAACUAGAAUUAAAAUAAUAUGUGUCUGCUGCAGGUUGCAUAACAUAGCCAUAGAAAUGGAGGAUGAUACAGCCAUGCUUAGCACCAAGCGGAGGAAUCUCUCUAAGGAAGUGCGCCAGUUAGCAAAGGAGGAUGCUGUCAGGGCGAGGGAUAUGCUAUCACAAUACUUCUUGGCUGGCAGGUCAUCUGAAUCGGGAGGGGAGGGUGAUGAAACAGCUUCAUCAGGCUCAGGAGGUGAAGGCAAGAAACAAGAAACACAGAUAAGAACAGCAGAUGAAGAGUAA